Small nuclear RNA from Amazona collaria (yellow-billed parrot), 97 nucleotides. Lineage: Eukaryota; Metazoa; Chordata; Aves; Psittaciformes; Psittacidae. The record is from Ensembl.
UUGCUUCAGCUGCACCUAUGCUAAAAUUGGAAUGACACAGGUUAGCAUGGUUCCUGCACAAGGCAACACCCAAAUUCAUGGAGCAUUUCAUAUAUUU